Molecule: ribosomal RNA, 608 nt
Filed under: uncultured bacterium
Lineage: Bacteria
Description: bacterial SSU rRNA
Rfam family: Bacterial small subunit ribosomal RNA (bases 1-526)
Source: RNAcentral
CCUACGGGAGGCAGCAGUCGAGAAUCUUCGGCAAUGGACGCAAGUCUGACCGAGCGACGCCGCGUGCGGGAUGAAGGCCUUCGGGUUGUAAACCGCUGUCAGAGGGGAUGAAGUGUACGGGAGUUAUCUCCUGUAUUUGACAGAGCCUCAGAGGAAGCACGGGCUAAGUUCGUGCCAGCAGCCGCGGUAAUACGAACUGUGCGAACGUUAUUCGGAAUCACUGGGCUUAAAGGGUGCGUAGGCGGCUGCCUAAGUCAGGUGUGAAAUCUCUCGGCUCAACCGGGAAACUGCGCUUGAUACUGGGCGGUUAGAGUGAGGUAGGGGUGUGUGGAACUUCCGGUGGAGCGGUGAAAUGUGUAGAUAUCGGAAGGAACGCCAGCAGCGAAAGCGGCACACUGGGCCUUUUCUGACGCUGAGGCACGAAAGCUAGGGGAGCGAACGGGAUUAGAUACCCCGGUAGUCCUAGCCGUAAACACUGAACACACGAGGAGGGCGUCGUCUCUCUCUAGCGAGACGUAGUGUCGUCGNGGAGUAGUGUGCGAGNGUGUACGUUACGAAGUAGUUAGUUAGUACGCGNGAGACGNGCGACGGCGACGACGAGGAGGAGG